GACCUGGCCGGGUGGUCUGCCUUACGGUGUGUACUGUCUGGCCGGGCCUUACCUCUUGGUGAACCGGCGUGCCCUUUAUUGGUGUGCGUCGGGGAACUAGGACGAUUACCUUGAGAAAAUUAGAGUGUUCAAAGCAGGCCUGCUUGCCUGGAUACAUUAGCAUGGAAUAAUAAAAUAGGACGUGUAGUUCUAUUUUGUUGGUUUUUAGAGCUGCCGUA
Molecule: ribosomal RNA, 218 nt
Filed under: uncultured fungus
Lineage: Eukaryota; Fungi
Description: partial small subunit ribosomal RNA
Rfam family: Eukaryotic small subunit ribosomal RNA (bases 92-218)
Source: RNAcentral